RNAcentral lists this ribosomal RNA (167 nucleotides) under uncultured bacterium. RNAcentral's name for it is "partial 16S ribosomal RNA". It matches the Rfam family "Bacterial small subunit ribosomal RNA", at positions 338 to 497 of the family's 1533-position model. The record is from RNAcentral.
CCUACGGGAGGCAGCAGUGGGGAAUUUUGGACAAUGGGCGCAAGCCUGAUCCAGCCAUGCCGCGUGAGUGAAGAAGGCCUUCGGGUUGUAAAGCUCUUUCAGGCGGAAAGAAAUCGCACUUAUUAAUACUAAGUGUGGAUGACGGUACCGUCAGAAGAAGCCCCGGC